GAUGAAGAACGUAGUGAAAUGCGAUAAGUAAUGUGAAUUGCAGAAUUCAGUGAAUCAUCGAAUCUUUGAACGCACAUUGCGCCCCCUGGCAUUCCGGGGGGCAUGCCUGUUCGAGCGUCAUUACAACCCUCAGGCCCCCGGGCCUGGCGUUGGGGAUCGGCGGAAGCCCCCUGCGGGCACAACGCCGUCCCCCAAAUACAGUGGCGGUCCCGCCGCAGCUUCCAUUGCGUAGUAGCUAACACCUCGCAACUGGAGAGCGGCGCGGCCACGCCGUAAAACACCCAACUUCUGAAUGUUGACCUCGAAUCAGGUAGGAAUACCCGCUGAACUUAAGCAUAUCAAUAAGCGGAGGA
RNAcentral lists this unclassified non-coding RNA (353 nucleotides) under soil metagenome. RNAcentral's name for it is "partial contains 5.8S ribosomal RNA, internal transcribed spacer 2, and large subunit ribosomal RNA". The stretch from base 1 to 120 matches the Rfam family "5.8S ribosomal RNA", at positions 35 to 154 of the family's 154-position model. The record is from RNAcentral.